RNAcentral lists this non-coding RNA (183 nucleotides) under Cycloclasticus sp. RNAcentral describes it as "6S RNA". It matches the Rfam family "6S / SsrS RNA". Rfam says of the family: E. coli 6S RNA was the first non coding RNA to be sequenced, but its function was unknown until recently. It consists of 184 nucleotides that fold into an extended hairpin structure with a large single-stranded internal bulge. The 6S RNA specifically associates with RNA polymerase holoenzyme containing the sigma70 specificity factor. The record is from RNAcentral. Lineage: Bacteria; Pseudomonadati; Pseudomonadota; Gammaproteobacteria; Thiotrichales; Piscirickettsiaceae.
CGUCCCCUGCUAUGUUUGAGGUUAGGCGAAUAAAACCCUUGGACCUAAUAACAAUACAGGGAAUAGAGAUUACUUUGUUGGUGUGCACGCUCUAAUACAGAGAAGCCUAAUGCAAAUGUCCAACUCCCACUUGAACCUCACGGUUCAAGGUAGAAACCUGACUACGGCACUUGUGGGGGACGU